AACAGAAGAUAGUGUUGUUGCUGAUGAUGAUCAUGAUGGAAAGAAGAAUGGCAUUCAUCAUCAUCAUCAUCAUCAUCAUCAUAUCAU
This 87-nucleotide microRNA precursor is filed under the name Bigelowiella natans CCMP2755. Its description in RNAcentral is "miRNA EPrBNAG00000013577". The record is from RNAcentral. Lineage: Eukaryota; Cercozoa; Chlorarachniophyceae.